AAGUACAUUUUCCUGAUGAUACUUAGAAACAUAGGAAAAAAUCCUGCACUCUGGUCUUGCUACAGCAUCACCUUUUAUUUAGAAAAACUAACGUUUCGGUCCCAUCAUACUCUCGAUGAAGGUCCAGAGGGACCGAAACAUUUUUAGUCAUUCGUACCCCUUUUCUUUUAGUUCUUAUUAUAUUGUAUACUGUAUUACACCAAGAUUGAAAGAACUACAUUUUCUGUACUAAAGAUGUUAUAUUGGCCCCAUGUAUUUCCCUAACCUUGCUCCAAUGUUGGACUCCACACUGAUUUAAUGUUAAUAAAAUCAGUGUGGCAGCAGCUGGCGGCUGCUUAU
Molecule: long non-coding RNA, 339 nt
Organism: Sander lucioperca (pikeperch)
Lineage: Eukaryota; Metazoa; Chordata; Actinopteri; Perciformes; Percidae
Exons: 2
Source: RefSeq, a predicted model, not a curated record